AGUCAUUGAUUGGACAUAAAUCAAAGCACAUUAAAAAUGGAAAUUCGCUCUUUUUUGACCAUUAUUUUUGUAAUCGCAUUCGCUCUACUUCAUUAUGGAGAGGCAAUGAGAUGUUAUAAGUGCGAUUCGCGAAUUAGUGAAACUUGUGCAUUCGAACGUCGAAAGAGAUAACAGAGUGUGCAACUACUAAUUGUGCUACUUGUUAUAUUGACUGGUCCAACGGUACUGAGAUUCUUCUCAGAGAACGCUCCUGUGGCAUAGUAAAUUAUGACUUUGUGAACCGUUAUUAAUCGAUUUUCAGUAUUGUUCAAUAUGUUAUAAAGAUCUCUGUAAUAAGUUUAAUAAUAAUGCUAAUAUGGCAACAGUUAGCAUGACAUUAAGAUACCUCAUAUUGUUUUGGGCGAUUCGGUUUGUUCUUACAAAUUCUUAUUAAUUGUUUAACUCACAUAAAAAAUACGUCCUUAUAUUUAAAAAAUAUUA
This is a long non-coding RNA of Camponotus floridanus (Florida carpenter ant), 480 nucleotides long. RefSeq lists it as uncharacterized. Lineage: Eukaryota; Metazoa; Arthropoda; Insecta; Hymenoptera; Formicidae. The transcript has 3 exons. The record is from RefSeq and is a predicted model, not a curated record.